Long non-coding RNA from Hypomesus transpacificus, 249 nucleotides. RefSeq lists it as uncharacterized. The record is from RefSeq and is a predicted model, not a curated record. Lineage: Eukaryota; Metazoa; Chordata; Actinopteri; Osmeriformes; Osmeridae. The transcript is spliced from 3 exons.
GCAGAACAGUACAGGAGCUGUCAGAACUCCAACUGAAAUUAGAGAGCCUCCAACAACAAAAAAUCAUGACCAAGUUUUUGAAACUGAUGGGAGGUAGCAGCAUUGGGGACGCUGUCCGAAGAAUACUUCGGAAAGUUGCAACAAACGAGACAUGGUCCAACUACAGCCUGAAAGGGCGAAAGGGAAAACUGCCCUUCAUGGGGACAACCCUUUACAAAAUUGUUUUACGAGCUUGUGCUGAGCAGUUCC